This 468-nucleotide ribosomal RNA is filed under the name uncultured bacterium. RNAcentral's name for it is "partial 16S ribosomal RNA". It matches the Rfam family "Bacterial small subunit ribosomal RNA", at positions 28 to 507 of the family's 1533-position model. The record is from RNAcentral.
GACGAACGCUGGCGGCGUGCUUAACACAUGCAAGUCGAACGGUGAAGCUCCAGCUUGCUGGAGUGGAUCAGUGGCGAACGGGUGAGUAACACGUGAGCAACCUGCCCCUGACUCUGGAAUAAGCGCUGGAAACGGCGUCUAAUACUGGAUACGAGAAGGGUCCGCAUGGGCACUUUCUGGAAAGUUUUUCAGUUGGGGAUGGGCUCGCGGCCUAUCAGCUUGUUGGUGAGGUAAUGGCUCACCAAGGCGACGACGGGUAGCCGGCCUGAGAGGGCGACCGGCCACACUGGGACUGAGACACGGCCCAGACUCCUACGGGAGGCAGCAGUGGGGAAUAUUGCACAAUGGGCGAAAGCCUGAUGCAGCGACGCCGCGUGAGGGAUGACGGCCUUCGGGUUGUAAACCUCUUUCAGCAGGGAAGAAGCGAAAGUGACGGUACCUGCAGAAGAAGCACCGGCUAACUACGUG